Pelobates cultripes (western spadefoot toad) is the source of this 214-nucleotide non-coding RNA. NCBI's taxonomy places the organism in Eukaryota, Metazoa, Chordata, Amphibia, Anura, Pelobatidae. The record is from the annotation of a GenBank genome assembly.
GUCUCGUUACAGCAGGACUUUCACAGUAUGCCUUAUAUCGCAGGAACGGAUCUCUGACCGUUAGUUCAGCAUCGAGUAACAGAUGUUCUUCCAAUGUCUUUAUUUUACCUUUACCUCUUGCAGUUUACUAAUGUGGUGCCUACCUUGUCUCCACUCUAAUAGCGCAUGCAAUAUUUUAUUAGCCAGUCCUCACUAAAGGGGCACCUUAAGCUUG